AUUACCGCCCCGUCAUAGGAGAGAACCAUCCGCCAUGCGGGCAGGUGGGCAGAGCAUGUAUCAAUGCGCGCGGGCCGAGGUGAGCGGGUCACGACCUUGCUCGGUCUCACUCCCAGCCGGGUCACCCAGCGCCCAAGACGUGCCCUCCUCGACUCCUCCCGGACCAGCCUGCAGAAAGGACAGCGUGGUGCAGCGGUAAGCCGAAGCCCUGACCGACGAAGCUGGUUUUCAUCGAAGCAGACUGGAGGAGGGAGUACACCAGUGGAACGCCUGGGCGUAGUGCUGACACAACGCGCAGUGUAAUGGUCAGCACAUUCGGCUUACAACCGUGAAGGCCUGGAUUCGAGUCCCGGGCGUGGCAAGACAAAUGGAGGAGUCUUUUAAGUGUAGCCCCUGCUCACCUAACCAGUAGAUACGGGAUGUAAGCCGAAGGUGAGAAAAGUUCCGCUGUGCCAGUUCUUGAAGAAAACGGUCCGAAAGAAUAUCCGAAAUUAUGCGGAGAAGUGUCUUGAAACUUCCCUCACAGGCAGUACAUGGGGUGAAAGACCUAUAUAAGAAGGUCACAGGCCUAGGGCAACGGAAAAGAAAAAAAAAAAGACCCGCUGAGGUGACAGUUCCGAAAGAAAAAGAGCCAAAUAGAUUAUCCAAAACUGGAAGGGUGCGUUGGACGUCUAGGAAAAAAAACGUGGAAAAGUUCAGUGGCAUCAUCACCACAGGAGUGAAUUGAUUUAGGAGAUCACUGAUGAAUACUCCAAAGAAAAUGGAUGAGAGGACCAAACCCUGAGGAACGCCGCUGUUACUGGACUUUGAGGAAAACAGCGUCCGCCUACCUCAAAGACAGCAAAACUGUCAGAAAGAAAACAAAGUGGGAAAGAUGAAAGUCGUGGGAGAGUAGUUUGGGAAUUGAAAUUUGUGCCAGACUCAAUCGUAAAGGAAGUUGUUUCAGUGAGAAUGGUCAGAUCACCAGAACGGCCACGACGAAACCCAUACAGGUGAUCAGAUAUGAAGUUAGGA
Molecule: long non-coding RNA, 1014 nt
Organism: Scylla paramamosain (green mud crab)
Lineage: Eukaryota; Metazoa; Arthropoda; Malacostraca; Decapoda; Portunidae
Exons: 4
Source: RefSeq, a predicted model, not a curated record